GCGGCGAACGGGUGAGUAACACGUGGGUAAUCUGCCCUGUACUCUGGGAUAAGCCUUGGAAACGAGGUCUAAUACCGGAUAUGACUCCGCAUCGCAUGGUGUGGGGUGGAAAGUUCCGGCGGUACGGGAUGAACCCGCGGCCUAUCAGCUUGUUGGUGGGGUAGUGGCCUACCAAGGCGACGACGGGUAGCCGGCCUGAGAGGGUGACCGGCCACACUGGGACUGAGACACGGCCCAGACUCCUACGGGAGGCAGCAGUGGGGAAUAUUGCACAAUGGGCGAAAGCCUGAUGCAGCGACGCCGCGUGAGGGAUGACGGCCUUCGGGUUGUAAACCUCUUUCAGCAGGGACGAAGCGCAAGUGACGGUACCUGCAGAAGAAGCACCGGCUAACUACGUGCCAGCAGCCGCGGUAAUACGUAGGGUGCGAGCGUUGUCCGGAAUUAUUGGGCGUAAAGAGCUCGUAGGCGGUUUGUCGCGUCGGCCGUGAAAACCUGGGGCUUAACCCUGGGCCUGCGGUCGAUACGGGCAGACUUGAGUU
RNAcentral lists this ribosomal RNA (539 nucleotides) under Streptomyces sp. RNAcentral describes it as "bacterial SSU rRNA". It matches the Rfam family "Bacterial small subunit ribosomal RNA", at positions 95 to 648 of the family's 1533-position model. The record is from RNAcentral. Lineage: Bacteria; Bacillati; Actinomycetota; Actinomycetes; Kitasatosporales; Streptomycetaceae.